This 724-nucleotide ribosomal RNA is filed under the name uncultured bacterium. Its description in RNAcentral is "bacterial SSU rRNA". It matches the Rfam family "Bacterial small subunit ribosomal RNA", at positions 768 to 1504 of the family's 1533-position model. The record is from RNAcentral.
UCAAACAGGAUUAGAUACCCUGGUAGUCCACACAGUAAACGAUGAUUANUAGUUGUUUGCGAUAUACAGUAAGUAACUAAGCGAAAGCGAUAAGUAAUCCACNUGGGGAGUACGCCGGCAACGGUGAAACUCAAAGGAAUUGACGGGGGCCCGCACAAGCGGAGGAACAUGUGGUUUAAUUCGAUGAUACGCGAGGAACCUUACCCGGGCUUGAAAUGUAGAGGAAUAAGUAGGAAACUAUUUAGCCAGCAAUGGUCUCUAUGUAGGUGCUGCAUGGUUGUCGUCAGCUCGUGCCGUGAGGUGUCGGCUUAAGUGCCAUAACGAGCGCAACCCACAUUAUUAGUUACUAACAGGUUAAGCUGAGGACUCUAAUAAGACUGCCGUCGUAAGAUGCGAGGAAGGUGUGGAUGACGUCAAAUCAGCACGGCCCUUACGUCCGGGGCGACACACGUGUUACAAUGGGAGGUACAAAGGGCUGCUACCUGGUGACAGGAUGCUAAUCCCCAAAGCCUCUCCCAGUUCGGAUCGGAGUCUGCAACUCGACUCCGUGAAGCUGGAUUCGCUAGUAAUCGCGCAUCAGCCAUGGCGCGGUGAAUACGUUCCCGGGCCUUGUACACACCGCCCGUCAAGCCAUGGGAGCCGGGGGUAUCUGAAGUGCGUAACCGCAAGGAGCGUCCUAGGGUAAAACUGGUGACUGGGGCUAAGUCGUAACAAGGUAGCCGUA